AUUCCAGCUCCAAUAGCGUAUAUUAAUGUUGUUGCAGUUAAAAAGCUCGUAGUUGGAUUUCUGAUGGGAUCGACCCGGUCGGCUCCGAAAGGGGUCGCACUGGUGGUCUGUCCGGUCAUCCUCGAGGGGAGGCUUUCUGGCAUUCAUUUGUUGGGGAGUCGACGCUCGUCGUUUACUGUGAACAAAUUAGAGUGUUCAAAGCAGGCUUAGGCCGUUGAAUACAUUAGCAUGGAAUAAUAAGAUAGGACUUUGAGUCUAUUUUGUUGGUUUGCGAGUCAGAGUAAUGAUUAAUAGGGACAGUUGGGGGUAUUCGUAUUUCAUUGUCAGAGGUGAAAUUCUUGGAUUUCUGAAAGACGAACUACUGCGAAAGCAUUUACCAAGGAUGUUUUCAUUA
This 394-nucleotide ribosomal RNA is filed under the name Dictyocha sp. RNAcentral's name for it is "partial small subunit ribosomal RNA". It matches the Rfam family "Eukaryotic small subunit ribosomal RNA", at positions 582 to 975 of the family's 1831-position model. Lineage: Eukaryota; Dictyochophyceae; Dictyochales; Dictyochaceae. The record is from RNAcentral.